UUGAAACACCGGUUCUCAUACGAUAACCGAAAUUAAGCAACGUCAAGCCUGGUCAGUAACAAGAUGGGUAACCGUUUGGGAAUAAUACGUGCUGUAAG
This is a non-coding RNA of Acanthosepion pharaonis, 98 nucleotides long. NCBI's taxonomy places the organism in Eukaryota, Metazoa, Mollusca, Cephalopoda, Sepiida, Sepiidae. The record is from the annotation of a GenBank genome assembly.